This 1033-nucleotide long non-coding RNA is filed under the name Equus asinus (donkey). Its description in RNAcentral is "lncRNA (ENSEASG00005026799.1, ENSEASG00020022366.1)". Lineage: Eukaryota; Metazoa; Chordata; Mammalia; Perissodactyla; Equidae. The record is from RNAcentral.
AGGUGGUCCUAUAACUUUAGAUAAGAGUCAGAUGAUCAUGUCAGGAUGUCCUAUGCUUCCCAGAGGAUGAUAUAGAUCAGUGUGUAAGGCAGGACGCCUUGGGCUUCUCCCUGGGGCAGCCUUGAUCCUCAUCAAUAAACUCACCCCAGUUUUGAUUUAUAGGUUGGUUAUAGAUUAUUUGUGUCAACACUAUAAAUUCAGUAUUCAGUUGCAAAUUAGGAGAUCAACAUGACCAUGAUGCCAGGAAAGGGACUAAUCUGGGUGUUACCAAUAUGGUAUUACCAAUAGGGAGUAGGAGGGGAAGUUGGCGUUCUUUAUCUCAAGAGAGAUUCCUUAUUUUAAUGGAUAAGCACAUGUACAAUGUAUCUUUGAUAGGCCAUAAGUCAGGCUUUCUAGUUCAAGACGAAUCAGUUUUGAACUCGGUUACCCAAUAUACCUCAAUAUGUGAAAAUCUCUUGUCAGAUGACACUCUAGGCCUCUUGAUUUUUGAUAUUCAGGAUUCCCCUGGGUUGUUUUUGUUGUUGCUGCUGUUUUUAAAUAACUGUCAGCCUGAAAUAACCUCUUUUCAGUUUUCUCCUUUUGGUUUGUUUUCUUAUGUCUAUGUAAUAGAAGCAGGACACUGGCAAACCCUUUUAAAAACAUAAACCUAAGGGGUAGGCUGAGAGAGAUCCACGAGCUGCUCCUGCACCUGGUAAUUCUUUCUGCCUCCUUCAGCUCUGAAAGGAGAUGUAAUCACCACUCCCCCAACCAGACCAGGCAUCACCAGGAGAGCUACAGCUAUGACCCUUGCCUUAUUUUUAAUGCUAACAUCGCUCCAGGAGGACCUUACGCCUUAAGACCUUAACCUGCAGUGCAUGUGGAAGGAUGUUUUCCAACUGAGCCUGCGCAAGCGAAUGCCCACCUCUCCUUUUGAAUAUUCAUUCCCCAUCCCAAAUAAAUGUCCCUGCUUCCCUUUGUUGGAGGAAGCUAUGACUCUGGAAAUGAUUCCUCAUGGUCUCCUAUUUGCUGCAAAUAUACUUUACUUGUCAGACAA